Molecule: RNA transcript, 2915 nt
Organism: Mus musculus (house mouse)
Lineage: Eukaryota; Metazoa; Chordata; Mammalia; Rodentia; Muridae
Gene: Fkbp14
Gene name: FK506 binding protein 14
Exons: 6
Source: RefSeq, marked validated
AGAAAAAGUGCCACGUCUUCCUGGGAGUGUGUCUGUUGGGGGAGUCCUGAACUUGCUUGGCCUAAGCUGUCUCCGCUUUUGGCACAUUUUUAACUCUAUGAAGUCGGGGGCCUUUCCUCUGCUUUGGUAACAUGAGGUUUUUCUUGUGGAACGCUAUCUUGGCACUGUGGGUCACGGUUCUGAGCGGAGCUCUGAUUCCUGAGCCAGAAGUGAAAAUCGAAGUUCUCCAGAAGCCAUUCAUCUGCCAUCGCAAGACCAAGGGAGGGGAUCUGAUGUUGGUCCACUACGAAGGCUAUUUAGAAAAGGACGGCUCCCUGUUUCAUUCCACUCACAAACAUAACAAUGGUCAGCCUGUCUGGUUCACCCUGGGCAUACUGGAGGUUCUCAAAGGCUGGGACCAAGGCUUGAAGGGAAUGUGUGUGGGAGAGAAGCGAAAGCUCACCGUUCCUCCUGCCCUGGGCUAUGGCAAAGAAGGAAAAGUAUUUUAGUACAUGCUUGCAUGCCUCCUUGGAAAGAUACCAGCUUUCCCACCGGUCUAUGCAUGUCCCUUCCCUGUCUCCAUCGGCAACGGUAAAAUCCCUCCAGAGAGCACACUGAUAUUCAACAUUGACCUCCUGGAAAUUCGAAAUGGCCCAAGGUCCCACGAGUCGUUUCAAGAAAUGGACCUCAAUGACGACUGGAGACUCUCUAAGCAUGAGCUGGAGUUGCAGGCACAUGCGCCUUUUGCAGUGCUGGGCGUUUGAAAUUGGGUCCUCAUGCUUCCGCAGCAAAUGGUCACAGCCACUGAGCCAUCUCCCCACUCCUCCAUUGUAUUUUAAAGACAAUAGAAAACGGUUAAAGUGUAUUUACAGAAGGAGUUUGAGAAGCACGGUGCCGUGGUGAAUGAAAGCCAUCACGAUGCUUUGGUGGAAGAUAUUUUUGAUAAAGAAGAUGAAGACAAAGAUGGAUUUAUAUCUGCCAGAGAAUUUACAUAUGUGCACGACGAACUGUAGGGACGCGCCUGCCAUUUUAUACACGUUCAUUUCUAAUGGAAAGGCAGCACCUUUGAACAAAGCUUUUCUCUUUGCCUUUCUUGUUUUUAGUUUUAUAUUCUUUUUCUAUUAUUUAAAGAACCUCAGAGACUUUGUAAAUAUCGUUCGUAUCUUUCCAGUGAGUUAUUGGGCAGGAACGGUUGUCUUUGAGUAGAGGACUCCCAGGCCGCUUCUAAGCUCACAUGGGAGUUGGCUUUGCUUCCUUGCUUCUUUCUAAUGGUAACAUGGCAACUGGAAACACACCCCAGCAUACACACAGGGUGUAGCACAGACCAGGGCCCUGUACUUCUCCCUCCCUCUGUCUUCUCAAAGUCCAGUUACUGGCAUAUUUGAAAGCUUUUGUGCUAGUUCAAGGCUUGCUAUUUUCAUGUUAUAGUGAAGUGAUUUUUUCUUUACCUGCUUUUGAGUCCCUGCUUGCAGGCAGGAGGAAUAUGGUGGACCUUAUUCCUUAAGAGCUCUGGCCUUACUGUGGAGAUACACAAUGUGGAUGAAUGAGGGAGGUAGCAACUCAUGAAUAGGUGGUCAGAGACGUCCUAGUGGCUAAUAAACCAUUACAAUAAGUCAGACAAAUAAUAUAUUUGUUUCCUUGUAAUCAACACACCAAAAUAUGGUAGGCAUGGCAGAGAGUUGUAUUUAUAAUUAAUGUUUACUUUUGGAGCUACCAAGUUAGCCUUCUGGUUCUUAAAUAAAUAAAGUUUGCAGCUAGUAUAUUACUUUGCAACAGCAUUGAAUCCUGGGAGAAAUUAGUAUGUCAAUGAGACUUCCCCAUUUCUGAUUCAUGAAAAAUAAGGCUAACCAAUAACAGCUACUAUUAAUACUGGGCACUGACAUUUAUCAUUUUAUCUCAAAUUGGCUUCCAAAAAUGACUACUACUUCUGUUUUUUAGAUUGUUUUUAAUCAAAUUGGCUUUUAUCUUAAAACAAACUUCCCAGACCUCCAUUUGUUAUGCUCCUCAUAGUUUACACGUGCACAAUUGCCUGACUGGGGGUGUCUGACACCCCUGGGAAGCUGCUGGGUCUUGGGGUACUUCUUUAUAGGUGAGAAGCUCUGUUCAGAGAUUGGCUGGUGAGCCCAGCCUUGGUGCCUAAGCUGUAGAUGCACCUUCAGUCCCUGAGUUCAGUCUUCCACUUCUCUGCUAAUGAAGAUGCAGCAAGUUUGCGUCUCUCUCUCUUGGUCCUUAUUUCCCUUAGCAUCUUCACCUCUGGGGAUAAUUCCUGCCAGUUCCUAGCUGAUCACAGCUUUCCUUAGGAUCCAGGAAGGUCUGUGUUUUCUGAGAAUAGUCUUGCUUUGUGUGUCUCUCUCCCAGUAACCCCCUGAGAGGGGUUAGGUGUAUGUCUUAUGGCAUCUAAGUUCACCUGUUCCUGUCACUUCCUGUUGUUUGUAGACAUUGUAUUGCAACACGAAUUCUGCAUUGACAUUGUUACUGGCGAGAAUUACUCAAGGGCUUGUUCUUGAAGAUGUCAGGGGUAACUGUAACUGUUGCCACCUGCAUUUUUCUGGGGAGGUUGUGAGAAAGCCAGUGAGUGUCGUAGACCAGUGGUGUGUCUUGAAGGCUGCUUUGCUCCAAGCUGCCACCACCAUCUGCGCUGGAGCAGUGAAGAAGAAAGAAUCUUGACCACUCAAUUACAUGGAUUUUUAUCAGAUCUCAGCUAAACUUUCAAACAGAAGUAUGAAAGAAAGACAUACCUGGAGAAAAUGGUUGUUAAAGCCAUCUGCCAUUGUGUAUAGCAAUGCCUUUGCACCCUCCCAUUAGUGGGAAUAGUCAAACACCAAAUGUGACUUCACAUGUAUAUACUUUGACUCCUAGCUGCUCUCUGUGUAAUAUUUAAAUUUCUAUGUCUAUUGUGACACUCUUUUUGAAAAUAAAGUUUAUUUGGGAAAUAA